Gasterosteus aculeatus aculeatus (three-spined stickleback) is the source of this 18053-nucleotide long non-coding RNA. NCBI's taxonomy places the organism in Eukaryota, Metazoa, Chordata, Actinopteri, Perciformes, Gasterosteidae. The record is from Ensembl.
CCGUGACAGUCACGUAUUUAACUGCGUGAGAGCUGGAGAAGCAGAAAGUAUCUUACUUUACAACUGCUACUCCGGCGGCCUUCUAUUGUAAUGUAAACAAUCAGGGUAACUGUGUGCAUUUCAAUUUUAACAAUGCUUUAUUGUAACAGGCCUAAGUAUUUAUAUUGCCAAGUUGCUUGGGGCUUGGACUCCAUCCUGCCGUAGGAUAGACGAGGGGCCGGGAUGCCGAGAUGGCAUACCCCCCCUUUUGGAGUCCAGACACUGGUGGUGGUGGUAGAGCCUAAAUUGCGCCAGGUUUUUCUGUAGAUUGGAGGUGUCAGGGGUGGUGGCGGGUCACUUUUGGUGUGUGCUGAAAUGACAACUGACAGCAAAAGAGAGAAGAACAGUUUUUAACGUUUGCCUGCCCCGAUGCAAUUGGUUUAAGGUAACGACACCCACGUCUGGUUGAUUAGGGGCGGGGUCAGGUAGUACCAGCCAGCUGGCCGCACGGCCCCAGGGAGAGGAGGCCAUCAGGGAAUGGCACAGCCUGUCCAGUCUUCCUGACUGAAUUUUCGCCUAAACUUCAUUUCAAUCCGGAGAGAUUUGUUGAAAUUUUAACAAUGCUUAGACCAUGCUAGGCCUUUCCGCAUGUAAUACCUGGCUGCCUCCAUGUAGUGCUCUAUCUGACCUUGUCCUAUGAGAGCAUCAAGGUGUGACACUGAGGGACUGUAAUGGGUGCUUUGUGGGUCUCGGGGCAGAGCCUCUGGAAAGUCUGAAAAUCAAAACGGGAAAGCAAGUCAGACAGUUUGUUAUGCUGUCCGGGCACGUGCCGGGCAGUGAUGAUGAAGUUGUUGGUGACAGCGGACCAUGUGAUGCCUCUCAUGAAUGGCAUGAUGUCUCGGGCCGAGGAGCGGCCUUUGUUGACAAUGUCCACCACUGCCUGGUUGUCGCACGUGAUGGAGAUGCGCUUGCGUGUCCAGUGUCGUCCCCAGAUGAAACAGGCCACCGCCACUGGGUAGAUCUCAAACAGCGCUAUCGAUGUUUCAAAACUGCAAAAAGCGGUUGGCCAGUGGCUGGCGAACCCCCUGCGGGGAAUCUAUCACCAGGAAGUCAUCCAGCAGGAAGUCAUCCAGCAGGUGAAGUACUGACGGGACUUUGGCCCUAUUCAGCAGGAUCCAAGGGAGCGCUUCAGACACUUUGUUAAAUAUGCAUGGAGUGCUCCUGCACCCAAAAGUUAACCGCACUGCAAAGUAGAACGCCUCCCACCGGAUCCAGGAGAGAUGCCAUUGAGUCAGGUGUGUGGGUACUAUUUUAAAUGCAUCUUUUACAUCCACUUUUGAGAGCCAUGCACCUUGACCGGCCAUUUUAAAUCAAGUUUAUGGCACUGUCGGUUGAAGCCUAACGGAGGGGAAAUAGUUCUGGGGGAAUAAGGCUUUUGAUGCUCGGAAUAGCGCUAGAAUGUUGCUCAUAGAUCGAAAAUUAAUCUUUUCUUACCAGAGUAUUUGUCCGUAGCAAUGCCUACUGGACUAGUAUGAAAUACAGAAUAUGGUGCUGCCUUGAAGGGGCCCACGAUGUACUUCCUCCUUACCUCUUCUUUGAUUAAGUUGGUGACAGUCCCUGGCUCUUCCAUUGCGGAUUGCAGGUUCUUUGCUAUGUACGUUCUGGUGGGCUCGCGACGACGCCUACGUGAAACCCCUGUGAGCAAGUGAUUCACGAACCCCCGGUCGGGUCGCAAAGAUAGCUCUGUUGCCAGUGCCGCAAUGUUUAUUGGUGUUGGGGGAUGUAUUCUCAAUGUUUUUGAACCACGUGGUCCCCCUCGUAGACCUUGGAUGCGCCUCCUUGCAUAGGCUGCAGAUAGCGGCAAUUUUUGUAUGUACAGACACUCAAUAAAACUGAGGCAUACAGGAGAGUAAUCUAUAUUUGGGACCUCGUGCCCUCGGCUCACCUGUUGCCGCAGCGGUGGUUGUGCGCCGUGCCCAUGGGAUGUUGACUGAAAUGCCGCCACCGGGCAUAGUGGCGUGACCCGUACGGCCGCACAAACUGCAUGCCAGUGGUUGCAUCCCCACGGCGACCAUCAGCAGUAGCUCCAUUACGGACCAAGCUAGCCGGUUAUUGUAUUGCCUUAUGAACAAUGCUGCUUUCCUAGCAAAUGCUUUGGGGUACGGAUAAAACACAUACCCCCCGUAAUUGACGCUGACAUCACCGAUUAGUGCCAUGUAGGCGUCUAACUCCUGCCUUCUGUCUGGAAAUACGGCGCAAACAACGUCCCGGUAUACUCCAAACGCAACAAAGAAUUGCCCGAUCGAUAACUCUGUUCAGUCGUGGGUCUGCUACGCUAACGUAGCGCACUCUGGGGAUGGAAGGAUGAUGGAAACGAGAUUGAUAUCUUUGCCCGCAGGCGUGUUGACACAUUCGAAGCCUGAGAAAUGUAUGUCCUACCCUGUGGACGAUCAGGUACCGCCGAUGCCAGUAAAUGCUGCGCCGCUUCCCCUUGUGCAGAUGUAGCAGGUUGAACCACCAUGCCGGCUAUGGGCCCCCUGGAAUCCUGGAUGUCUGCGCUGAAUGAGGUGGAUGGAAUGGGCUGCCUGUCCCCUAGGUGCUGCAGGCGCGCCUCGAUGGUGCCCAUCGUGUUAACCAAUGUUUGUAAAGUUGCGAUUACCGUGGCGUCUGGACCCGACGUGCCUGCCAUCGCUGGUGGAGAAUUGCACUGGGUUCUAGUUUUUCUCCGCCUCGCCUGCGGUGCCAGUUUUGGUCCCAACUUCCGGGUUCGCUUCCGCCCUGGCGCGGGAGGCAGGGAUCUCUGCGCUCUCCACCUGCUGUGAGUCUUACCAAGUCCUGCAGCUGGGAGAGAGGGAGCCCCGGUGCUGGAGCCACGCCGCGAUUCUGCAGUUGAGUAAGAAUAAUUUCUCGCUUGUUCGUUGUGGAGCCGCUGCGCCUUGUGAAACGAGCGCUCCUGCGCCGGCCGCUCGGUGGGUUGCUGGCAGCAGCCUCUCCAGUUCUCAUGGUUGUUGAGACUCGCGUCUCCGGAAUAGAUCGCUAUCCGAAUCUGACAUUCAUUUUGCCGUCACGAUCACUGCUAAUCCAGACAAAAUAUCCCUAUUUCGCCUUGGUGUGUGCUGAAAUGACAACUGACAGCAAAAGAGAGGAGAACAGUUUUUAACGUUUGCCUGACCCGAUGCAAUUGGUUUAAGGUAACGACACCCACGAUAACGACACCCACGUCUGGUUGAUUAGGGGCGGGGUCAGGUAGUACCAACCAGCUGGCCGCGCGCCCCCAGGAAGAGGAGGCCACCAGGUAACGGCACAGCCUGUCCAGUCUUCCUGACUGAAUUUUCGCCUAAGCUUCCUUUAACCAAGCAAUUACUAAUGAUUUUUAACCGACUAAUGCUCUUGCAGGAUUUCAUUCUGAUGUUUGGAGAGGAUGUAUCAGGCAAGCUUCCGGAGAGGUGGCAAACUACAAUCAAGAAAAACAUAAUCCAACGAUGCUGAAAGCUUCCAUCCAACAGUAGGCUUAAGGAACAUCUGCUGGCAGCUGAUCCGCCUGAGAAUCCCACUGAAGCCGAUCUUGACUUUUGUAAGCAGUUUGUUUUAUUGCACUCAAACUUAAAAUAUAUCAACAUGUGUAAACCAUUGCAUAUCAGCAUUGUUUAUGAAGCUGGGUUGAGAUUUAAAUCAAAACCUCAAAGGCACUGAAAUGUUUGGCUCAGUUUAACAUUGCAGAUCUGCUGGUGUUGCAGGUUUGGACAGUGACUUGUCUUGCAGAUGCACCUUAUUCCACCUUCUGCUCAAGGUUGUAAAAAAACAGGAAAGGUGUCUGCAUCCCAACCAAAGAAGCAUUUUGUGGCAUUCAAGAAGGUUGGUAUUUUUCCUUAAUUUAUGACAAGAAUUUCAAAUUCUAUAUAAAUUGUUAUAAUUACAACUAUAUAAUUGUCUCUCCAUGUGUGUUUGUCUUGUCAGACUGGAACAAACAUCCAAGAGCACCGUGAUGCCAUCACUACGAGUACUCCACCCUACCUCCUGAUAUUUCGAGCAAGGAAGAAUGUGAUCCACCAGUUCUUCACCCUUGACAAGAAUUCCAUACCCCACAGGUCAACCUCUUCUCUUGGUGCUUUUUGAUGAACUGUUCAAGGCACAUAAAACGCCAUGCUACACAACACGUACACGUUCAUCCAAACUGCUGUCUAAAAUAUUGAUGUUGGCAAAGUCAAAGAGUCCUUGUGUUGCCAAAGUUCAUGGUUACUGGAAAUAUAUUCGCCUUAAAUGUGCGCAGACUGGAUGUGAGUGUUUGGUACUUUUUUCAGGUUUUAGGAAACAUUUACACACCAAACAAACAGUAUAUUGACCAAGAAGUUCACACUGAUGUUAAUUUAAGCAUCGUAGGAGAGUUGAUGUAGCAUGUGAGAUGCCUGUUUUGUACGACUAAAGAUGACAAUGUAUUACUGUUUGGAAAAUUGCUGGAAAUUGUGUGUUUUGAUCAGUAUUGCCAUGCCUUUAAGGUCAGGCUGCAUCCUGACAAGAUUAUUAAGGUAUUGCACAUAAAUUGGCUAUUUACUUGAAACCAUUCAAUGUUCAAAUAGAGUGUAGGCCAUUCCCCCUUUUUAAGGAAUGUCGUCCCUUAUUGCCAUUUAAAGCCGAUCGAAGGUCAAAUGUUUUGCAUUGUUUCUCUGCACGAUAAAGAGCUGUGAGAUGCAUUAUUUGGUGUUUUUGUGAUUUUACUAAUUCAUGGCGUUUGAAAAAGCUGUAAUGAAUACAUUUGAUGUAAUUUGAUACUGAGGAAAUUAUUUGUAAUUAGUGUUAAUUUUCAGUGACACUAAGCAGUGUCAAUGGAUGGUUAGAAUUUCAGUGUGUCAGUGCUGUUUUCACAAUAAGAGUAAAUUGUCAACACUGUAGUGUAUAACAUGAGCACUUACCGGAGUAAUUUGUUGUAUUGUUAAUUUUGUAUAACUAUAUAGUGUUAAUGAUAAUUUCAAUUUAACUGAGUUGAUUUGUUGUCAUAGUUAUGAGUUAAUAUCACUCAUAGUGUUUAUAAUUUAACAAUUUCAAGAGUUAUUUAACCUGUAGUGUUAAAUUUCAUUAACACUAUACAGUGAGUGGUGUUACAUUUUUACUCUAGAGUUAAUUUAACUCUAAAAUUUCAACACUUGGGCAAUAGUUAAUGUUAAGGUUUCGGAAGCUCUCGAGGGAGGACUCAAUCCUUUGUUCUCGUCCCGGCCGGAAACGAGGACACGAAUGAGUCAAUUCGUUUAAAUUCAAAAAUCAAAAGUUAUUUAAUAACUGAACAACGUAAUAGGGAUUACAAUUACAAAGUGAAAUACUAAGCGAACAGUGGAAUAUUUCGCGAAAUAGAGAAUCCUCUGAGCAAGUCUGAAGUGACUUAUCAACGCGGCUGCAGGAAAAGUUCUAACAGUCUUUUCCCCGCCAUGGUCCUUUGAAACCUCUUGAGGUGUGUCUUCCUUGGUGCAUUUGAAUGUCAUUGGCCUCUUCUCCAAAGGGUCACCUCCUCCAUUGUCCCUUCCACGUCGAGGUGUGAAGCUGCAGCUGUAACCUGAAACCUCACUGUACUAGCUGUCCCUCACAUUCCAAUGCACUCAAUGUAGAUACAUUCGGCUUUAUGCCCCAAUGAGUGAAUUUAACAAAGCAUACAGCGUUUAAGUCUUCAUCUUAUAACUAGUACACUUUAAUUACAACAACCCAUCAUUAAUGAUCACCGUUCAUCACACUUCAUCAUAAGAUCUAAAACAGUUCAUGUGGUUCAAUUCUCAAGACAUUUGCCUCAGUCGGCUGCCUUGAAAUAAGUUGUUCAUUUAUUACCUGACAGGAGAAAAAACUCCCAAAAAACCCUUUUUGGGGAUAAAAUUGGGAGAAAUCCAUAAAGAACGGCAAUUGGCAUCCGUCCCCAGGUUUUAACAUCACAUUGUGACAGAACGUUAAUGUGUACAGUGUUUAUAUGAUUUAAAUGACUAUGAAUUGUGUUUGAUUGAAAUUGCAUUCACUUCAUCUAACAUGUUAACGUAAUAACUAAUAUCUAAUAACACACAAACUAUAAUUCUAACACUAAACAUUAUUACACGCACUACAAAUUCUAUGACUAGGGGUGCACUUCUGGCUUAAAUCCCUAACAUUAAUUUAACACCAAUUCCAAUUGGGACCAAAUUCACUCUGGAAAAUUUUGUUAAAUUCUACUUUUCGAGUGUCACUUUAACACUACAAAAUUGACUGUGUACAUGUUUUAAAGUACUUAUCUGCUUAUAUUAUUUCAUAUAUUAUAUAUUUUUUUUUAUCCCUCUGUGUAACAUACGUGGCAAUAAAUGAUUUCGGAUUCUGGUGUAGUCAGGUAGCUUAAUGGAUGAACUGAUGGAAAACAGGGCUAUUUACAUGCUGCAACAUGACUCAUUUUUAACAGAGAAGCGUGUCAUUAGUAACGGAAUAGGCUGCUAGUGAUGACACACAGUCAUCUCAGAAGAAGAGAGGAAGCAAGAGGUCUGCGUAGAUGGAUAGCUGUGAAAGAGAAAGACAUGGGAAAUGCCUAUAUGAGAAGCAAAAUAAGAGAGGAGGUGUAAAUAUGCAUCGCCAAGGGCAAUGUCAUUGCCUCUUUGUAUCAUUCAGCUCCAUCUCUUUCAGACAUUUUCCUUUUUAUACACAUCACAGCCAUGUGUGCAAUGCAUGCUCUAGACAGCCAUUGUCAGUCUCUGGUGCAUCAAAACCAACAUCAGCGCUCUCCAAAUUAAUUACUAGCUCUCUCCCUGGCCUGCCUCUGUAAUAAGUCUCCAAGGGAGCAGAAGUGAUGGACUAUACCGUGUCAUCAUCCUUUCUCCACAAAGGCUGACAGCUGUUUUCCCCUCAGCCGUGGUCUUUCCAUUCCCAAUACACCCCCCAUCACCACCGUGUGAUGUGUGGGGAGAGAGGAUGAACCUGUGAAACAUUCACUCUGUAUUGGUUUUGUGUUGAGGAGAAUUAAGUCAUGUUCCAAAAGAUGGUCCGUGCCACAGAAAUAGUCUGUGUAACUCGCUGGCAAAAUGUAGAUGUGAUUUGAUCAAAUGUUUGGUCAUAGUGAAGCAGAGUAUUAAAAUGAUGACAUGUUUGAAAUGGCCCCGGGUGGGAAACUUUGAUCAGUCGCCCUCCUGCUACCCAGUCAAUUAUGACAUGUCAACCUCAACAACACGCUAUUCCAUAAAUUGCAGUUGAGCUAGGUUACUUUUAACAAAUGGGUCUGAUAUUUAGUAAAUUUGGAAACUCGAAAAGCAAAUUAUGAAAUGAUGAGUUAAGACAUGCACAUAUGCAUAUUCCUUCAUAGUUCUUUAGAGUGACUUUCCAAACCCUCUUGGCGACUUUUUGUGUCAAAAGCGACCAGCGACCUUUUCUGGUCUGGAGGAAACGUGUAGAGCGAGAAAUUACGCUACGCUCUGAGGGUGAAGGGCAAAAGUGCCCCCCCCCCUCCCAUGAAAUCCGACCAUGAGAAGGAAGGGAAUGUUUUGAAAGGGACACACACAUUCGCUAAGCAUUCAGCAUUCAAAAACCUCUGGGAAUUAUGCAUUCUUUCUGACAGAAAUGUAACUUACAUCAGCCGAUUCAGGGUGGAAUUGCUGUGCUGUUUUUAGCCUUGGUUUUGUUGUAGCGCUCUAGCUUGGACCGAUGAGGCAAUAAGUGUACAGAGUAUGUUCGGUUUUGGCCGAAAUUCAUAGAUUGUGAUUAGACAAGGAGAGUCAUUGACCUCAUACAGUCUGAGAGGGCCAGAACUAAGAGAAUGGUGCAGAAAGGCUUUUACCAACAAAACCAGUUACAAACAAUGCUAAAUACCUGUCAGAGCUUCUGGAGCAACAGGGGCUGUCUGAACUUUCUGUCAUCAUGAUGCUGAUGGAGGUCACUGCAAAUGCAAACUUGACCCAUUUUACAAUUCUCUUAUCAGUAGCUCUAGUCUGAUUCGUCAAGUUGAACGUUUAUAGCAUCAAAUCAAAGUUUACCUUUUAUUCCCAGUUGGCAUUGCGUUCCCGUGAGAAUAGAUUCGGGAGAACGGUCAUUUCCGCAAUUGGAACAGCAGCUGACUUGAUGACAUGGUCUUGCUAAUGUAUUUUAAUAGUUUCAUUUCAUUUUCAUUUAAACUAAAGAAUUCUGUAUAUAAUGGAUUAGAUAUAUAUGGAGUAAAUAUAUUAUAUAUAAGACAUAAAAUAACUAGGCAAAAUAUCUCAAUGGAUCAGAUCAGAGUUCUUACACAGUCAAACUGUUAUGGGUCAGCUGCCGUUUUUCCCCAUCCGGGGCGUUUGUAUCUUUUCCCCUGUGUGUGUGUGUGUGUGUCUGUCUGUGCUUCUCGUCCCCACCUAACAAGAGGCGUGGUUUCCUCUUCAUAAGAGGUGUUGGAUACAGUAACAAUUAAACAGUUAAUAUUUUAUUGGCUAGGACUACAUUCCAAAAACACACAAACCGUUUGUCUUCCUGUUAAACAUCAAGAUGGCUAAUAAUCAGUGGGGUGGUCCUCGUCCAGGUUAAAUGCACAAACAUUACUAUGAAUUAAAUUGAAGAUGUACCUGAACCUCUUUUGUGUCAUUAGAUCAUUAGUGCUUAAUAGGGGUGUAACGAUUCAUUCACUGAAUCGAUUAAUAUUCCUGCGAUCCAACUGAAUCAAUCUGUGCUCUGCAAAUCGGCAUUCCGGACGACAUAUAUUGAUUACAAAUCGAUUUGAAAUGGUACAUAAUCGAUUGUAUCGAUACUUGGAAACUGCACAUCGGAUUUAAGUACAAAAACUGUAUGGAUGUGUGUUUGUUUGUUUUUUAGCACUUUAGACACGUUAAACGUUACUCGAUUCAGCUCGAGUCUGCCUGUCUGUGACGUCAGUAGUACGCAGCGGCAGCCGCGCGAAACUCGGAACAACAACAAAACACAGCGUGGAGGAGAUGACUGCGAGCAAGACAUUUACAAACCAACUUAUCGAUCCAGCGUGUGCAAACACGGAGGUGUUCUAAAUAAGUCGGUCGCUGUUUGUAGAAUAUGUAGAAGCCAAAUAAAAAAACACAGAAACACAACGAAUCUUUCCGGCCAUCUACUAAGGCGCCGUGGGAUUAAACAACGCCAACAGUCAGGCACCUCUAGCAGCGUCACCGCUGCAGCAGCAGGGAACUCCAGCUCUGCAGACACCUCAGGCCUCGCCAGCACGAAACUCAACAUCAGAGUAACAAUUUCCAAGGUUAUCUGUAAAGACAUGCAACCCUACAAUGUGGUUGAAAAUCUGGAGUUCUGUGAAUUGAUCCAAACAUUGUGUAAUGUUUACAUUGAAAAUGGCACUUGAUUCAAAUAAAAGGUUAAUACAUUUGCCAUCAAUUGUUGUUUGCUUGUUUAUAAUAUCCAUACUUAAUUAAAACCUGAUUUCCUUACAAGAAACAACAGGGAUCUCAGAAACUUUGCCUGCACUGUCCAGUAAAGUUACUGAAUUGAUUUCAAGUCACUGAAUCGAAUCAUUCGAAAUUAACCCAGAUCGUCCAUGAAUCGGAUCGGCAACCAUGAAUUGUGAUUCGAAUUGAAUCGUUGUUCAAAUUAAUCGUUACACCCAUAGUGCUUAACAUAGCAUUUAAUAUCAUGAAACAGUGAUCAUGGAGGCUACAAGGACAAACACAUUAAUUUGUACGUUCUUUCCCCUCUGCUCUUUUCCCUGUACACCAACAGCUGCACCUCCAUUCACCAGUCCGUCAAGCUCCUGAAGUUUGCAGAUGACACCACCCUCAUUGGACUGAGCUCUAGUGGGGAUGAGUCCGCCUACAGGUGGGAGUCUGACCAUCUGGUGUCGUGUUGCAGCCAGAACAACCUGGAGCUCAACGCUCUAAAGACAGUGGAGAUGGUUGUGGAUUUCCGGCGGAACAGAGCCCCACCCUCCCCCAUCACCCUGUGUGACUCCCCCGUCACUAUUGUGGAUUCCUUCCGUUUCCUGGGCUCCAUCAUCACCCAGGACCUCAAGUGGGAGCUGAACAUCAGCUCCAUCACAAAGAAGGCUCAGCAGAGGUUGUUCUUCCUGAGGCAGCUGAAGAAAUUCAACCUGCCAAAGACGAUGAUGAUCCACUUCUACACGGCCAUCAUCAAGUCCAUCCUCUGCUCCUCCAUCACCAUCUGGUACGCUGCAGCCACAGCCAAGGACAAGGGCAGGCUGCAGCGUGUCAUCCGCUCUGCAGAGAGGGUGAUUGGCUGCAAUCUGCCGUCUCUGCAGGACUUGUUCGCUUCCAGGUCUCUGAAGCGAGCUGAAAAGAUCGUAGCCGACCCCUCUCACCCCGGACAAAAACUGUUUGUGCCCCUCCCGCCACACAAACAGUUUCUUCCCGUCGGCAGUCGGGCUCAUCAACAGAGCCUGGUCCCCCACUGACUGACUAUAACAUUCCACCGGUCACUCCCCUUAACUGUAAUUUAUCACUUUGUCGUCACUCGUCACUUGUUCGCUAGUGCACUUUAUGCUUAAUAUUUUUUUAACUCUUAAUAUUUUACAUUUUUAACUUUAACUUUAUUCCCUUGUUUUAUACUAACCCAUUCUACUAGCAUUUCAUUUUACUUUAUUUUAUUACCUGUCACACUGUCUACUGUCGCGCACCAACCGGCAAGACAAAUUCCUUGUAUGUUUGACAUAUUUUGGUAAUAAAUGUUGAUUCCUGAUUAUAAAUUGAAGACAACACUAUACAUAUAACACUUUUCCUAAUUAAUAACAAUAGAAAAAUAUUUCAGGGAAAUAAACUAUGGAAUUAAAAGUGCAGAAACAACAUGGACAAGUUAGUUUAGAAUUCUGUGUUUGUAGCUGUGGUAGCGGGCGUGGUUAGCUCAGCUGCAGGGGGGAGAGUGGGGGAGUGGUCCAGGGAACGGUGCCGGCAGGUAACGAGCGAGCACAGCUGGACAAUUGAUUAUCUCCCCUGUGAAAAAGCAGUGAGCAGGACCUGGAGCGAGAGAGACUUGGGAGCAGAUGCUCAGGGGCAAGGCCGAGGAGCGCAAAUGCAUGAAACCUGCUCACUGCGAACGUUAAAAAUAAAGAAUAUUGCGCAGUAAACCCGUGCGUCCUUAAACGAACCCCAACGGUGGUAGCUCCAGCCAGCUAGAGUAGCCCUGUCUUCUGAAUCAUUGCAAGGUCAUUUGCAGAUUCUUUAACAAGAUCUGGGUCCAAGCCACUUGAAUUGGGAUAGUGUACCUGAAAUCAGCUGCACCUCACUUGACAAUUCUUUGUGUAAAGGGAGCCAGAGUGCAGAGAACACCCCUCAAUUGCAGAUUCUUUUAGUCAACAUGUUUAUUCCAUUCAUUUUGUUCAGCUUCACAAUCUGUAAACAUGAAACAUACUAUCCCAAAACCCCCAAAAUGUAAAAAAACAACAAAAACUGGGAGAAACCUGAAGGAAAACAGCAGAGAAGUAGGUGUACAGUUUAAGUAACAACUUAAAGAUGUACAGUACAUUCAAUUCCUACGACAGAAAUGAUUCUAAUAUUGUGGAUUAUUAAGCCAGGUGGGAGGCAGAACCACUGUAGGGACAACCUCCAUCAGAUGUAACCUCCAUCCACAACCUGUGAAGAGGAAAAGGCAAAGUUGGGCAGCCAGACACGUCGUCAAAAAGACAAGAAAAUCAGUGCCAGGUGUGGGAUUCUGAGUCUGGCACAAACAGAAUACUUCACCACUUGCCUUGCUGUACAAAGACCUGCAAAAGGUAAAUAUGUAGGAUGGUUGUGUAGGGCUCCUAACUUUGCCCUUUUAAUUUAGACCUCCGGGGGGGACAAUCGCCAGACUGAAGGAAAAAACUUAAAACAGUUCUUAUCAAAAAAGGGUAAGGGAGCAUUGACUUCUGGGCAGGAGGCGCUAUUGGUUUGGCCCGCACCCUCUCACAUACAUGACCAUGAUGGUAGCCAGGUUACUAUACCCACCCGAACAGCACAACAUGUCAGUUCUAUAACAGAUUAAAAGGUACAGCAAUUCAUAGUACAACCAUCCGUACAACAAUUCAAUAACCAAUGAAUGGCACGGCAGUUGAUGGCACAAUAAAUAACAUAGCUAUUGCAAAACCCCCUCGAUACCACAGCAGGUCACGGGAAAAAUCAAAAUGUUUUGACGACAACAACAAGAACAGAGAACCCCCAAAACCCGAAAACUGAGCCAGUCUGCUUCAGCCUGUAGCCGGCCGUCCAGACAAGUGAGUACUCCGCUCGUACCGCCGGACCCGGGUCACGUUGAUCUCACUGACGAUGAGCUCGCUCUGGUUACCAGUGACGGCCAGAACCUUGCAAUAAAAGGUCUGCCAAUAAACAUGCAAACUGGGAUAAAAUCACCGCUGCCCCGGUCCAAAGCCGGCCUCCUUGCGGUGCUCUCAUGUCGGAACCUUUGGGUUUGUGCACUGAGUGGACUUUCCGGGAUAGGUCGUGGUCAACACGAAACGCCCAUUAUGUAGUGUGAUGGCCAGGAUAUAGCCCUGUCCCGUCCACACAUCACUGACCUCUCUGGGGCAUAGCCGGUCCCCUGUGUUGAAAAUGGGCAGCGGCGGUACUGAUCCAUUUACGUUGCAAAAAAGCUUUGUUAUAAAGCUGUAAAGUCCACAGUCUGGUAGCGAGGUUGUUAUUAUGUGUUGUAUGUAAGGGUUCGCCUGAUGCUAGCGUGGAUGGACAGGGACGUUAGCCCGAUGCUAGCGUGGAUCAGUGCUGAGCCUAUGCAGGUCACGUGAAAAAUGAUCUGUAUCCGGCAGAUGAACGAAUCGUUCUCCUCCCGACCGUGUCUACGGGUCAAUGUUUCGUUCACCUGCCAACCGUGCCAUCGGGUCAAUGAUUCGUUCAUCGUUCAUUGUUCACGUGACCUGCAUAGCUCAGCAGUGAGCACUGGUAGCGAGUAGAUCAAUGAUUCGUUCAUCGUUAAUUUUUCUACCCCGAGACUCUGCAAGCGGGAUUGUUGCUUCCAACCACAGCGACAGAAACCCAACCGGGACCGGUUCUGUGGGGAUUCGAUUCAAAGCGACGGAAGGAUCGUUCACGGCACAAGAGGUUCACAAAGCCUCAAGUAGAAACUCUGGAAAACUUUUUGGAUUAACGUCUCCGAUGCUAGUCUGUGUUCGCGUGAGGUGAUGCGGCCCCUGCAGACGUCCAACUAUGGUUUGUAGAUUGUGUGCGGGAUUCGAACGCGACCCGAGCCCGACUGAGUCAAUGUCUCAACUAAUGACACAUUCACGAACGUUUUUUUUUUAUAAAUAGCCUGCCUUUAUUAAACUCAGGCAUCAACAGAUAAAUAUACUCGCUCAAAAAAACAAGCGCUGUUAAACGCACAAACACGUUGAAAAUAAAUUAUAAACAAUGCAAAAACGGAGAAAUAGAAUACACACGACACAAAACUAUGUACAUUGUCCAACCUUCGAGGUUUAAUCCACGUUGUUGUGGACUUCAAUGCCUUAUCGCGCUGAUGUGUCCGAGCCCGACUAUAUUUUCUAAAUAUUUAUCCGAGCCCGACCUGACCCGUCUGGUACCACUUCAUUUUCCACGUGACCUGCAUUCAACCAAUCAUUUCUGCUUCCUUGGCUGAGCCUAUGCAAGUCCCGAUGCGUGGCCACGAGAAAAUGAACGAAUCUUUUUUUGAGAGGACUCGUUACUCUCGAGUCCUUGUAAGGAUUCGUUCAAAAUGAACUAAUCGUUCACGAAUGACACAUCACUAUUGCGGAAACCUCUCUCCGAGGCACCGGUCUGCACCGUGAAAAGUUUCUCAAAGUCUGGGCUGCAGAGUACCGGUUCCUUGCACAAGGAGCCCUUCAAGCUGCCUCACACUCCUCAGUCCAAUCAACCUUGACAUGACAUUUGCGGGUCAGCUCGGCUUUCUCCGAAAAGUUUGGAAUAAAACGUCUGUACCAGCCCUAAAAAGGAACAGUCCUGUGUGGUGGAAGAUUUUGCACAGACAAUCGUUAAGUAAGAAACAAAGGCUCUGAGUCAAGUAUGUAUUUUCUCCGUUUAUUUCCUUGCAAGGGAAAGAGGGUCACAACAGCUACGUGGUCAGUAGACUGUCAAGAACCUCCUUCUGCCCCCAACACAUCGAGGCAGUUCUUAUACCUAAGUUUAGAUAUCGAUGGCGUCAACAGAAACCUUUGACCAUCUUGUUGAGUCUCUACAGCCAGGGUUCUGGGAACAUCUUGUCCAUGUAAGACACGUCAGUUCUUUGACCGUGUCCUUGCUCUCCCAACAUGCUAAAAGAAAGGUGGUCAUAGACAUAACGAACACUUUGUUCCCUCUCUACAGCUGUGACUGCUAGAAACAUGUAAUCCAAGUCGGAGACAUCAGUUCUUAUGUCAGGGCCUUUGUGAUCUAAGCACUUGCAACUAAUAAACUGGUUAUACAAAUGAAGCCUUUAAAAGGGUUACAUAUCAUUUUCCCAUUACACCUGUUUCUUGGUGGUUGGCCUCCACCUUCCCCACUUGCGGGCGGAUGACCCCUCGGCCCAGCACAAAGCCAAAGUAGUACGUCUCUUACUUGGCCAAGGCACAUUUUCUCAGGUGGAUGGUCAGGCCCGCCUCUUUCACCAACGAGAGGACCUGCUGCAGAUGACGCAAAUGUUCUACCCAGCUGGCACUGGCCGAUGUCAUCGGCAGCUGCAAAGCCCUCCGUCCCCGAGGACUCCGUCCAUCAGCCGCUAAAACGUGGCUGGUGCUCAGUGUAACCCAAAUGGAAGUAUGGUGAACUGAAAAUGACCAAACAGCAGUCGGCUCCUUGCUCUCUUUUGACAAGGCACCUGCCAGUAACUUUUGCAAAGGUCAAGGGUGGUCAGGAACUUUGCCUUACCCAAGUCCUCAACCCUGGGCAUGGGGUAAGGAUCAAACUUGGCCUGGGUGUUGACCUUCCUCAAGUCCAGGCAGAACCGUAGGCCACCGUCCUUCUUAGGAACCAGGAUGACUGGGCUGCUCCACUCACUGAAGGAAGGCUCAAUCGCCCCAAGCUGUAACAUCAUGUCCAGCUCCUCCUUCAGGCCAGUAGAAGGCGCUCUGGUAUCCGGUGGGAAGAUUGUCUCACUGGCUGCUAGUCCCUCAGCAAAAUACGGUGCUCCACUAACGCUGUCCGUCCUGGUCGCUCCACAAAGAGGUCUUCAGCCAAGAAAUUGACUGAGCUCCCGCUGUCGACCCUCCGGCCGAUGACUCAGAUCCAACUUGCUCUUCUCGUCCCGGCCAGGCAAGUACUGCUCGCUGUACUCCUCCUCCUCAACGGAACGGCCUCUCACUCUACUUCUUUAGCAUAUUGACGUGGAAAACCUGAUGUUUCCUGCGCCGGUCUGGCAUGUGGACUUCGUAGGUCACCGAAUAGGGUCCUUGCCAUAUUGCCAACAGCUUGUUCUCUGAGCUUGGCAACAACAGCAGGACCUUCUCUCCAGGCUGGAAACAGCGGGUACGGGCGCACCGAUCAUACCAUGCCUUCUGCCGACCUUGCACACACUGAGCCAUAGCAGCUGUGGCUGCAAUCUUCUCCCUCAUCUUCAAGACAUAGGAGAUUAUGUCUGUCUUGCCUGAGAUGUCUUCUUCAAAAUAUCCAGUGGACCUCGAACCUGAUGUUCGUACAGGAGCUCGAAGGGUGAGAAUCCUGUUGAAGCCUGAGAGACCUCUCUGUAUGCGAACAGCAGGUAAGGUAGUCACUGGUCCCAGUCUUUUCCAGUGUCAUCCACAAACUUCCUGAGCAUGUUCACAAGGAACCGCUCCACUAGUCCAUCUGUCUGGAGGUGGUAUGGUGUGGACUCUUUUUAUCCCUAAUAGAUCAUACACUUGUCGGAGGGUUUUGCUCAUGAAGUUGGAGCCCUGAUCUGGUAGGAAUCAAGAAACAUUUAUUGCCAAAUAUGUCAUACAUACAAGGAAUUUGACUUGGCGGUUGGUGCGUGACAGACAGUGUAACAAUAGACAACAAGACAGCAGUGCACAAGUAAUAAAAUAAAAUGCUAAUGCUAUGGGUUAGUAUAAAAUAAGAGAAUAAAGUUCAAAUUAAAAAUAUUUAAAAAAUAAAAGUGCACUAGCGAACAAGUGACGCGUAAGAACAAGUAGAACCUCCCGGGGAAUCCCUACUCUGGAAAACAGGUUGAACAUAGCUGUGGUGACCUCUCUCAUCGGGAAAUCUUCUGGGUAUCUGGUUGCAUAGUCAGACAACUAAAUGACUAUUCCCUGCCUUGCUGCUCUCCAGGGGCCCCACUAUGUCUAUCCAUUGAAAGGGAAUCAACGGGGCAUGGGCAAGGCCUUUGCCUCCCGAUAGCUGGCACUGGGGACAGGACUUACAAAAGCUCUUCACUUCUCCGAACAGCCCUGGACAAUGGAAACGCCUGCCUAUUCUCUGCAGUGUUUUCCUAUGAGCUAUGUGUCCCGCCCAUGGUUUAGUGUGACCUAGCUCCAGCACCUCUCUUCUAAACUUGUGGGGCACCACUAGCCGAAGUCCCUCCUCACUCUGCCUAUAGAGGAGGUUGUUCUGAACAAUGUACCCCUCUUUCCCAAGUGCCGGAACCAAACCAGAACCGUCCUUUGCCUUCUUAAACAAUGGGCUAAGGGUGGGGUCUGCACCCUGUUCUUUAGUAAGAUAAGCCCUAAAAGUUACAUCCACCUCCGACAAACUCGGGGAACCAACGUCCCGACUCUGGCUGCAUAUGAGAAUGUUCCAAAAUCCCUCCAACCCUUUGUCUGCGCUCGUCAUACCUCUCCUCAGUAGCGUAUAUGGGCUGUACCGGGAUAUCCUCUCCAUGGUACGACAAUUCGGCCAGGUCUUCUUGGUGUUGCCCCUAGCUCUAGUGACUACCCCACACCAGGCAGUCUUGCUCACUAGCUCGGGCAAUACUGGGAGAUCCUGACACCAACAACACUGGAUAGGGGAGUUUUGGGACUAGUCCUACCCUAAGCAGGUUUGUCUGACCACACACCCUAACCAACACAUCUGAUGUGCUGUGCUCGCUCUGAUCACCAUGAACACAAAAGACCGUAAGUUUGUCAUUAAAGUUAAAGUUCUUGAACUGAACUACUUCUCUUUCCCGGAAAAGAUUCGCUUACCCAGGACCUGACAGUCAACUUUGGAAACUCCGUACUAACGCCCACUUUGACCGCUAAGAACCUCGGCGUCACACUCGACAGCAAACUCUCCCUGACUCCCAACAUCGCCGCGACAACGCGAUCCUGUAGAUACACGCUCUACAACAUCAGGAGAAUACGUCCCCUUCUCACUCAGAAGGCAGCGCAAGUACUGAUUCAGGCUCUUGUCAUCUCCCGCCUGGACUACUGCAACUCCCUCCUGGCAGGUCUCCCUGCUACCGCCAUUCGACCUCUGCAGCUCAUCCAGAAUGCAGCAGCUCGACUGGUCUUUAACCUUCCCAAGUUCUCCCACACUACUCCACUCCUCCGCUUUCUUCACUGGUUACCGUCAGCUGCCCGCAUCCAGUUCUAAACAUUGGUGCUCACGUACCAUGCUGUGAAUGGAUGGGGUCCAGCUUACAUCCAGGACAUCAGUAAGGCCGAGAUCCUCCUUGUGGCAGUGGCAAGUGGGUGGCAUCAAACUUGAGAGCCCCACCCCCUACACGGAACCCGCCGGUCCAAACCUAAAAUUAGCCUCUGAAAUAAGAAGACGGGGGCUCACGUGUCUCAAAUAAAAUUAAAUAAAAUUAAAUAUUUACAGCAGCUGACCUGUCGUACAAAUAACAUUUGUUUCUGGGAAAAAUUGGCUCCUCCCACCCAGCGUGCCGUCGUGACGCCGACUGAUUUACUGGCGAUUGCCGCUGCCUGCCACAAAGUUGCCACCCACUUGCCACUGCCACAAGGAGGAUCUCGCUGUCACUCCAGGACCUGGUCAAACCCGACAUUCCGACCCACACUCUCCGCUCUGCAUCUGAUAAACUGCUUGUUCCUCCUCACUGAGAGCAAAACACUAGAUCACCACUCUUUGCUGUCCUGCUCCUAAAUGGUGGAAGGAGGUUUCUGAAGACAUCAGGACCACAGAGAGCCUUCACAUCUUCCGCAGCAAACUAAAGACACACCUCUUCAGACUCUACCUCCACUAACACACUAACAAAUUGUAGCACUUAAAUCUAUAUCAAUAAUAAUAUAUAGCAAAUUGUAAAUUGGCUUAUUUGAGGAAAUUGCACUUUCUUGUUUC